Molecule: RNase P RNA, 399 nt
Filed under: Gorillibacterium timonense
Lineage: Bacteria; Bacillati; Bacillota; Bacilli; Caryophanales; Paenibacillaceae
Description: Bacterial RNase P class A
Rfam family: Bacterial RNase P class A
About the family: Ribonuclease P (RNase P) is a ubiquitous endoribonuclease, found in archaea, bacteria and eukarya as well as chloroplasts and mitochondria.
Source: RNAcentral
UUUGACAGACAAUCGCCGGCGGUUAUGCCGCGGGAGGAAAGUCCGGGCUCCAUAGGGCAGGAUGCUGGAUAACGUCCAGUCAGCGCGAGUUGAAGGAUAGUGCCACAGAAAUGGACCGCCGAUGGCUCGUCCCUCCGGGACGGGAUCAGGCAAGGGUGGAACCGUGGUGUAAGAGACCACGAGGGGCUAUGGUGACAUAGCGCCUGGUAAACCCCAUCUGGAGCAAGACCUAAUGGGACGCAGGGAAGCAGUCAACUGCACCCAAGCCUUAGCCCGAGGCGCGUCCGGGUUGGUCGCUGGAGCCGUUCAGCAAUGGACGGCGUAGAUAGAUGAUUGUCGCUUCAAAGGCGGGAGGGGAAACCCGUUAUCACCGCCAGAAGUACAAAACCCGGCUUACGG